Molecule: ribosomal RNA, 580 nt
Filed under: uncultured bacterium
Lineage: Bacteria
Description: bacterial SSU rRNA
Rfam family: Bacterial small subunit ribosomal RNA
Source: RNAcentral
UGCCUAACACAUGCAAGUCGAACGGCAGCGCGGGGAGCUUGCUCCCUGGCGGCGAGUGGCGGACGGGUGAGUAACGCGUAGGAACCUACCCAGUAGAGGGGGACAACCCGGGGAAACUCGGGCUAAUACCGCAUACGCUCUACGGAGGAAAGCAGGGGAUCUUCGGACCUUGCGCUAUUGGAUGGGCCUGCGUUGGAUUAGCUUGUUGGUAGGGUAAGGGCCUACCAAGGCGACGAUCCAUAGCUGGUCUGAGAGGACGAUCAGCCACACUGGGACUGAGACACGGCCCAGACUCCUACGGGAGGCAGCAGUGGGGAAUAUUGGACAAUGGGGGCAACCCUGAUCCAGCAAUGCCGCGUGUGUGAAGAAGGUCUUCGGGUUGUAAAGCACUUUCAGUGGGGAAGAAAAGUGUAAGGUUAAUACCCUUGCAUCUUGACGGUACCUACAGAAGAAGCACCGGCUAACUCCGUGCCAGCAGCCGCGGUAAUACGGAGGGUGCAAAGCGUUAAUCGGAAUUACUGGGCGUAAAGCGUGCGUAGGCGGCUCGAUUAGUCAGGUGUGAAAGCCCUGGGCUUAACCU